AAAAUUUUAAUUUUAAAAAUUUUUGGAGCCGGUCGUCCCUUUAAAAUUUCGCCCAUGUUGAUAGCUUAUAUUAAUAUGCUUGUGAGUUAGCAUUAAGUUUUAAUUUAGCAAUAUUGAAGUUGUGAUGAGUUCGAGUUCUAAUGGAGUUCAGCCUAAGGAAAAAAAAUUGCAAGCUCUAUAAAAUGAUAAAUAACAAAUUUCUUUUGUUUGGGUGAAGUCUGGAUGUUGCAAGCCACCAA
This 239-nucleotide unclassified non-coding RNA is filed under the name Hevea brasiliensis (rubber tree). The record is from RNAcentral. Lineage: Eukaryota; Viridiplantae; Streptophyta; Magnoliopsida; Malpighiales; Euphorbiaceae.